Molecule: RNA transcript, 946 nt
Organism: Topomyia yanbarensis
Lineage: Eukaryota; Metazoa; Arthropoda; Insecta; Diptera; Culicidae
Gene: Arfrp1
Gene name: ADP-ribosylation factor-related protein 1
Exons: 4
Source: RefSeq, a predicted model, not a curated record
AUCAAAACAAACUGCAUUUCACCUUGUCGCAGAACUAUAUGCUAAACAAUAGUGAAAACUGCAGAAAAACACUGAUUUACUCUAAUCUAUUGUGCGAAUUCGUUAAAUCGAACAGUGGCAUAGUCAAUAGAUUGAAAGCAUGUACACACUACUCAGUGGUUUCUACAAAUAUCUCACACAGAAGGAUGAAUAUUGCAUACUGAUUCUGGGACUGGAUAACGCUGGCAAAACGACUUACCUGGAGGCAGCGAAGACCAAAUUUACGAAAAACUACCGAGGAAUGAAUCCGAGCAAAAUCACCACUACCGUAGGACUUAAUAUAGGCCAGAUCGACAUCAUGGGUGUUCGGAUGAGUUUCUGGGAUCUGGGUGGCCAGCAGGAGCUGCAGUCGCUGUGGGAUAAGUAUUAUUCCGAGUCGCAUGCCGUGAUCUAUGUGGUGGAUUCCAACGACCGAGAACGAAUGCACGAGUCGAAAGAGGUCUUCGAUAGAAUGAUUGGCAAUGAGUAUCUCUCAGGGGUACCGCUGCUGGUGCUGGCUAACAAACAAGACUUGCCCGACUGCAUGGGGGUUCGAGAGAUUAAACCCGUAUUUCAGGAGGCUGGCCAUUUGAUCGGGCGGCGGGAUUGUCUGGUGAUGCCCGUAUCAGCACUGACGGGGGAAGGCGUAGACGAAGGUAUAAAAUGGCUUGUGGAGUCUAUUAAACGAAAUUCUUUUGCACGUCCUCCAAAGUCGGAGGACACUUGAUCAACUAGGAUUUCGCUCUCAUCGAGUGCAAUGACGUUUUACUCGGUAUAUUUAUACCGUUUAUUUAUUCCAUAUUAAGAAAAUACCCUCAUCCUCAUCAAGGUUAUCCUUCGGGACGAAGGCACAAUCAUCGGUAUUGCCCCACUUGGCGGCUUCUCCUCCACGUACCUUUACAUUGUAGCAUACAUUUUCGCUUUUGAG